This 262-nucleotide unclassified non-coding RNA is filed under the name Albatrellus sp. Its description in RNAcentral is "partial contains 5.8S ribosomal RNA, internal transcribed spacer 2, and large subunit ribosomal RNA". Lineage: Eukaryota; Fungi; Basidiomycota; Agaricomycetes; Russulales; Albatrellaceae. The record is from RNAcentral.
AACGCACAUUGCGCCCAUUAGUAUUCUAGUGGGCAUGCCUGUUCGAGCGUCAUCAAGUCCACUUAAGCCCUGCUUAGUGUUGAGAACCUACAGAAGCUACCCUGUAGCUACCCUGUAGUUCCUUAAAGACAGCGGCGGAGUUGUAGUACCCUCUGAGCUUAGUAAUUUUUUCUAGCUUUCGAGAUGCUACUGCUUCUGCCGUUAAACACCCUUCUUCUGAAUGGUUGACCUCGGAUCAGGUAGGAAUACCCGCUGAACUUAA